GAGCGGCGAACGGGUGAGUAACACGUGAGCAACCUACCCUCAACUUUGGGAUAAGCCUCGGAAACGGGGUCUAAUACCGGAUAACACCAUNNNUCUCAUGGGGGGUGGUUGAAAGUUCUGGCGGUUGGGGAUGGGCUCGCGGCCUAUCAGCUUGUUGGUGGGGUAAUGGCCUACCAAGGCGUCGACGGGUAGCCGGCCUGAGAGGGCGACCGGCCACACUGGGACUGAGACACGGCCCAGACUCCUACGGGAGGCAGCAGUGGGGAAUAUUGCGCAAUGGACGAAAGUCUGACGCAGCAACGCCGCGUGAGGGAUGACGGCCUUCGGGUUGUAAACCUCUUUCAGCAGGGACGAAGCGAGAGUGACGGUACCUGCAGAAGAAGGACCGGCCAACUACGUGCCAGCAGCCGCGGUAAUACGUAGGGUCCGAGCGUUGUCCGGAAUUAUUGGGCGUAAAGGGCUCGUAGGCGGUUCGUCACGUCGGGAGUGAAAACUCGGGGCUUAACCCCGAGCCUGCUUCCGAUACGGGCAGACUAGAGGUAGGCAGGGGAGAGCGGAACUCCU
Molecule: ribosomal RNA, 564 nt
Filed under: Kribbella sp. 384C06
Lineage: Bacteria; Bacillati; Actinomycetota; Actinomycetes; Propionibacteriales; Kribbellaceae
Description: bacterial SSU rRNA
Rfam family: Bacterial small subunit ribosomal RNA
Source: RNAcentral